Molecule: microRNA, 24 nt
Filed under: Bombyx mori (domestic silkworm)
Lineage: Eukaryota; Metazoa; Arthropoda; Insecta; Lepidoptera; Bombycidae
Description: bmo-miR-3383-5p
Source: miRBase by way of RNAcentral
GUGCCUGAGGGCUUCGUCCAUGUU